RNAcentral lists this transfer RNA (86 nucleotides) under Prosthecobacter sp. Its description in RNAcentral is "tRNA-Leu". It matches the Rfam family "tRNA". From Rfam's summary of the family: Transfer RNA (tRNA) molecules are approximately 80 nucleotides in length. Their secondary structure includes four short double-helical elements and three loops (D, anti-codon, and T loops). The record is from RNAcentral. Lineage: Bacteria; Pseudomonadati; Verrucomicrobiota; Verrucomicrobiia; Verrucomicrobiales; Verrucomicrobiaceae.
GCCGAUGUGGUGAAAUGGUAAACACAGCGGACUUAAAAUCCGCUGGAGGGCAACCUCCUUGCGGGUUCGAGUCCCGCCAUCGGCAC